UGGGGAAUCUUCCGCAAUGGACGAAAGUCUGACGGAGCAACGCCGCGUGAGUGAUGACGGCCUUCGGGUUGUAAAGCUCUGUUAAUCGGGACGAAUGGUUCUUGUGCAAAUAGUGCGAGGAUUUGACGGUACCGGAAUAGAAAGCCACGGCUAACUACGUGCCAGCAGCCGCGGUAAUACGUAGGUGGCAAGCGUUGUCCGGAAUUAUUGGGCGUAAAGCGCGCGCAGGCGGAUUGGUCAGUCUGUCUUAAAAGUUCGGGGCUUAACCCCGUGAUGGGAUGGAAACUGCCAAUCUAGAGUAUCGGAGAGGAAAGUGGAAUUCCUAGUGUAGCGGUGAAAUGCGUAGAUAUUAGGAAGAACACCAGUGGCGAAGGCGACUUUCUGGACGAAAACUGACGCUGAGGCGCGAAAGCCAGGGGAGCGAACGGGAUUAGAUACCCCGGUAGUCCUGGCCGUAAACGAUGGGUACUAGGUGUAGGAGGUAUCGACCCCUUCUGUGCCGGAGUUAACGCAAUAAUACCCCGCCUGGGGAGUACGACCGCAAGGUUG
Molecule: ribosomal RNA, 549 nt
Filed under: uncultured bacterium
Lineage: Bacteria
Description: bacterial SSU rRNA
Rfam family: Bacterial small subunit ribosomal RNA
Source: RNAcentral